GGGCAAUUAGCUCAGUUGGUUAGAGCGCUAUCUUGACAUGGUAGAGGUCGCUGGUUCGAGUCCAGUAUUGCCCACCA
Molecule: transfer RNA, 77 nt
Filed under: Alphaproteobacteria bacterium CG1_02_46_17
Lineage: Bacteria; Pseudomonadati; Pseudomonadota; Alphaproteobacteria
Also listed under: 1 other name
Description: tRNA-Val
Rfam family: tRNA
About the family: Transfer RNA (tRNA) molecules are approximately 80 nucleotides in length. Their secondary structure includes four short double-helical elements and three loops (D, anti-codon, and T loops).
Source: RNAcentral